UGUGUAGGCGGUUGUUUAAGUUUGGUGUGAAAUCUCCCGGCUCAACUGGGAGGGUGCGCCGAAUACUGAAUGACUCGAGUGCGGGAGAGGAGAGUGGAAUCCUGGUGUAGCGGUGAAAUGCGUAGAUAUCAGGAGGAACACCGGUGGUGUAGACGGCUCUCUGGACCGUAACUGACGCUGAGACACGAAAGCGUGGGUAGCAAACA
RNAcentral lists this ribosomal RNA (206 nucleotides) under uncultured bacterium. Its description in RNAcentral is "partial 16S ribosomal RNA". It matches the Rfam family "Bacterial small subunit ribosomal RNA", at positions 568 to 774 of the family's 1533-position model. The record is from RNAcentral.